Molecule: ribosomal RNA, 439 nt
Filed under: uncultured bacterium
Lineage: Bacteria
Description: bacterial SSU rRNA
Rfam family: Bacterial small subunit ribosomal RNA
Source: RNAcentral
AAUCAACGCUGGCGGCGUGCCUCAGACAUGCAAGUCGAACGAUUAAGACUCUCUUCGGAGAGUGUAUAAAGUGGCGCACGGGUGAGUAACACGUAGGUAAUGUACCGAAGGGUGGGGAAUAACUUAGGGAAACUUAAGCUAAUACCGCAUAAUGCAGCGGCUCGACAUCGAGACAGUUGUUAAAGGAGCAAUCCGCCUUUUGAGCAGCCUGCGGCAGAUUAGCUAGUUGGUAAGGUAAUGGCUUACCAAGGCUACGAUCUGUAACCGACCUGAGAGGGUGGUCGGUCACACUGACACUGAAUAACGGGUCAGACUCCUACGGGAGGCAGCAGUCGGGAAUUUUGGGCAAUGGGCGAAAGCCUGACCCAGCAACGCCGCGUGAAGGAUGAAGUAUUUCGGUAUGUAAACUUCGUAAGAAUAGGAAGAAUAAAUAGACGGU